UCAUUUUCUGUGAACUUUUUUAUAAUACUUUGCUUUGGUGUGAUUUUGUUAUUACACCAAAAAUCAAACACAAUUUUAAACAAUUUGUCAUAAAAAAACAAGAAAUCUUAAUGAAUUUAAAACUUUCAACAACGGAUCUCUUGGUUCUCGCAUCGAUGAAGAACGCAGCGAAAUGCGAUACGUAAUGUGAAUUGCAGAAUUUUGUGAAUCAUCGAAUCUUUGAACGCACAUUGCGCCUUUUGGUAUUCCAAAAGGCAUGCUUGUUUGAGCGUCAUUUCUCUCUCACUUAACAGUGGUUUUGUUAUAUCUCUCUCUUUUUAUUUAGAGAGUAUAAUGAAAAGAAAUGGCAGCGCUCCGAAGUUUGCUUAUGUGUUUUAGGGUUAUUUCCAAACUACACUAAACGGCGCUUCAGUUGAGUCGGCUUGAUAACUAUUUUUUUCAAUGUUGACCUCAAAUCAAGUAAGACUACCCGCUGAACUUAAGCAUAU
This 488-nucleotide unclassified non-coding RNA is filed under the name Blastobotrys sp. CLIB 1738. RNAcentral's name for it is "sequence contains ITS1, 5.8S rRNA gene and ITS2". The stretch from base 121 to 274 matches the Rfam family "5.8S ribosomal RNA". Lineage: Eukaryota; Fungi; Ascomycota; Dipodascomycetes; Dipodascales; Trichomonascaceae. The record is from RNAcentral.